CAGUAAAUGUUGUGCUGCAUGACAAAAGAAAUAAGGCGGUAAUGGGAGAUAUUGGCGGUGUUGAUUCUCCAAGUUCUAAAAAUUGUUUUCUGGAAAAUUCAGAGGGACUCUACAUUAAAACUCAUAUAACUCUGGAUUGAGUAGCACUUACAGCCUUGAAAAACUGGGAGACCACGGCGUUGCCACUGGGGGAAGGGAGUUGCUAGUUGAAAGCCAUAGGAGGCAGCAAGGGGGAGAACAGAUUCGAUGACAUCUUCAUUUUCAAUUUGGUGAAUGGAACAUGUGCUGUACACCACUCUUUCAGCUGCUGGAACUAUUAUCAGACCAUAUAUUACCCUUAAAAUAAAUUCCAAGUGCUGUACAGUAAAACAACAACAUUUUUAUGGAGUAUUAUCCUCCAGGAAACAGGGAGAGAGAAGAAAAAGAAACCAACUGAAUAGGCCGAUAUAGUCCGAUGUUUUAAAAUCCACGUUUCAAUGGAAAUUUGUCCCAAAUAGGACUCUCCAAUUAUGUAAAAGUUCCACAAAUCACAACAAAGAUCAAGGUUUGGCGUUAA
This is a long non-coding RNA of Juglans microcarpa x Juglans regia, 556 nucleotides long. RefSeq lists it as uncharacterized. The record is from RefSeq and is a predicted model, not a curated record. The transcript has 2 exons. NCBI's taxonomy places the organism in Eukaryota, Viridiplantae, Streptophyta, Magnoliopsida, Fagales, Juglandaceae.